RNAcentral lists this ribosomal RNA (1285 nucleotides) under Virgibacillus halodenitrificans. RNAcentral describes it as "bacterial SSU rRNA". It matches the Rfam family "Bacterial small subunit ribosomal RNA", at positions 66 to 1316 of the family's 1533-position model. The record is from RNAcentral. Lineage: Bacteria; Bacillati; Bacillota; Bacilli; Caryophanales; Bacillaceae.
GCGCGGGAGCAGCUGAUCCUCUUCGGAGGUGACGCUUGUGGAACGAGCGGCGGACGGGUGAGUAACACGUGGGCAACCUGCCUGUAAGACUGGGAUAACCCCGGGAAACCGGGGCUAAUACCGGAUAAUACUUUUCAUCACCUGAUGAGAAGUUGAAAGGUGGCUUUUAGCUACCACUUACAGAUGGGCCCGCGGCGCAUUAGCUAGUUGGUGAGGUAACGGCUCACCAAGGCAACGAUGCGUAGCCGACCUGAGAGGGUGAUCGGCCACACUGGGACUGAGACACGGCCCAGACUCCUACGGGAGGCAGCAGUAGGGAAUCUUCCGCAAUGGACGAAAGUCUGACGGAGCAACGCCGCGUGAGUGAUGAAGGUUUUCGGAUCGUAAAGCUCUGUUGUUAGGGAAGAACAAGUGCCGUUCGAAUAGGGCGGCACCUUGACGGUACCUAACCAGAAAGCCCCGGCUAACUACGUGCCAGCAGCCGCGGUAAUACGUAGGGGGCAAGCGUUGUCCGGAAUUAUUGGGCGUAAAGCGCGCGCAGGCGGUCCUUUAAGUCUGAUGUGAAAGCCCACGGCUCAACCGUGGAGGGUCAUUGGAAACUGGAGGACUUGAGUACAGAAGAGGAGAGUGGAAUUCCACGUGUAGCGGUGAAAUGCGUAGAGAUGUGGAGGAACACCAGUGGCGAAGGCGACUCUCUGGUCUGUAACUGACGCUGAGGCGCGAAAGCGUGGGGAGCGAACAGGAUUAGAUACCCUGGUAGUCCACGCCGUAAACGAUGAGUGCUAGGUGUUAGGGGGUUUCCGCCCCUUAGUGCUGAAGUUAACGCAUUAAGCACUCCGCCUGGGGAGUACGGCCGCAAGGCUGAAACUCAAAAGAAUUGACGGGGGCCCGCACAAGCGGUGGAGCAUGUGGUUUAAUUCGACGCAACGCGAAGAACCUUACCAGGUCUUGACAUCCUCUGCAAUCGGUAGAGAUACCGAGUUCCCUUCGGGGACAGAGUGACAGGUGGUGCAUGGUUGUCGUCAGCUCGUGUCGUGAGAUGUUGGGUUAAGUCCCGCAACGAGCGCCAMCCCUUGAUCUUAGUUGCCAGCAUUUAGUUGGGCASUCUAAGGUGACUGGCCGGUGACGAAACCGGAGGAAGGUGGGGAUGACGUCAAAUCAUCAUGCCCCUUAUGACCUGGGCUACACACGUGCUACAAUGGAUGGAACAAAGGGAAGCAAAACCGCGAGGUCAAGCAAAUCCCAUAAAACCAUUCUCAGUUCGGAUUGCAGGCUGCAACUCGCC